Molecule: ribosomal RNA, 464 nt
Filed under: Vreelandella stevensii
Lineage: Bacteria; Pseudomonadati; Pseudomonadota; Gammaproteobacteria; Oceanospirillales; Halomonadaceae
Description: partial 16S ribosomal RNA
Rfam family: Bacterial small subunit ribosomal RNA
Source: RNAcentral
CCUACGGGCGGCAGCAGUGGGGAAUAUUGGACAAUGGGGGCAACCCUGAUCCAGCCAUGCCGCGUGUGUGAAGAAGGCCCUCGGGUUGUAAAGCACUUUCAGUGAGGAAGAACGCCUGGUGGUUAAUACCCAUCAGGAAAGACAUCACUCACAGAAGAAGCACCGGCUAACUCCGUGCCAGCAGCCGCGGUAAUACGGAGGGUGCGAGCGUUAAUCGGAAUUACUGGGCGUAAAGCGCGCGUAGGUGGCUUGUAAGCCGGUUGUGAAAGCCCCGGGCUCAACCUGGGAACGGCAUCCGGAACUGUCAAGCUAGAGUGCAGGAGAGGAAGGUAGAAUUCCCGGUGUAGCGGUGAAAUGCGUAGAGAUCGGGAGGAAUACCAGUGGCGAAGGCGGCCUUCUGGACUGACACUGACACUGAGGUGCGAAAGCGUGGGUAGCAAACAGGAUUAGAUACCUGAGUAGUC